AUAAAGCCUGUCUCAGUUCGGACUUGGAGUCUGCAACCCGACUCCAUGAAGCUGGAAUCGCUAGUAAUCGGAUGAUCAGCCAUGAUCCGGUGAAUGACGUUGCCCGGGCCUUGUACACGACCGCCCGUCAAGCCAUGGAAGCUGGGGGUACCUGAAAGUCGGUGACCGCAAGGAGACUGCCUAGGGUAAAACUGGUAACUGGGGCUAAGUCGUAACAAGGUAGCCGUACCGGAAGGUGCGGCUGGAACACCUCCUUU
RNAcentral lists this non-coding RNA (257 nucleotides) under Corchorus olitorius. Its description in RNAcentral is "Bacterial small subunit ribosomal RNA". It matches the Rfam family "Bacterial small subunit ribosomal RNA", at positions 1276 to 1533 of the family's 1533-position model. The record is from Rfam by way of RNAcentral. Lineage: Eukaryota; Viridiplantae; Streptophyta; Magnoliopsida; Malvales; Malvaceae.